CAAGAGUUUCAGAGGGUGAUAAUCAUUCCCAGGGUUUUAGGGCACUCCAGAUGCAACUCCGUUGUCCUUCAUUGCUUUGGCUCACCCAUAACAAAGGUUUGCACCAAGGAGAAGGCACCCAGCACGUCCCAGUGUAAACACAGCCCCAGUUUGGUAGCGCGUCUCCACACCGCCCCUUUACAGCGCGGCGUUUCCCUUGUAGGGUGCGCAGCGGCGGACUCCGCAGAGCCCCGGGGCUUACCUGAAACACGUCGUGAGUUCGCCUGAAGACUUCAAACACGGGUAUUUGGUUGUAGAAAUCUUGUUUUCCGAGCAGAUUUCUCUAUGAGAGAGUUUGGGGGGGGGGGGGGGGGAACGUCAGCAGGAUAGCUAAGGGCAGAGGGAGCCCUGGGAUCUGCGUCCUGGCGCGCCGAGCAGGCGCGGGUCCCCCGAGCGCGUAGCCACCAGCCAGAAGAGGCUCACAACCGGGCGACCUCGGUCCCCAGGGAAGAGGAACGCUGUGGAGGCUGGACGCAGGGAGACGCAGCGCCCCAGCCCACGGACACGGGGAGCCCAGGCUGCUUGCUCCACGGGAGCGGAGGCUCUUCCAUCCAAAGGAUCCAAGAAGUCUGCCUUCAAAUGUCCCUUAGGAAUUUCAACAUCAACUUGCCCCAAAUGGAAACCAUUAACUCCUCACCCCAACUCCUUCCUCCAUAUUCUGACCUUUAAGUAAAAGAGGUACAACCGAUGGUCUGUAUGGACUAGAGCUGUAGCUACCCUCUGAAAUCUUCCCACCGAAAUAGCAAUAGUCCCACUCUCCUGAACUGUAGCACAUUGAAUACUCUCAAUACUAAGGAUACCUGUGUUCUUCCUAAAAAUCCAAUAAAAUUACGUUACAAUAAAAGGAUUAAAAAAAAAAAGUAUGAACGAUCAAGGACAAAUCCACCAUGGAGAGAGGACAACUACACAACCUCAGAAGACGGAAAGUAGAAACUAGUUUGACCAACUAAAGAAACCUUGAACCCAGGCUGGCAAUGGGAAAAACCCAGAACAUGUUGAUUAACAAGGAUGAACCCCAGAAGAGCUCAAGAAGGAAGGCGCCAGGCACCCCUUGAAGACACAGUCGAAUAAAUCACAUUUCAGACAAUGGGAGGUCUCAUUAGCACAGCCUUCUGGCUCAUGCUUUCUGUUGGAAAGCGUGGAGAGACUGUGCUCCACCAAAGCAAAAGAGGAAGCCAAAAACUGACGACCUGGGAUUUAAUGAAGGAGGGAAGCUCAGGGCUUGGGGCGUCCUGAGCUGUUGAUGAAGGAAUGAAUAUCCCAGCACUUGGAAGUCAAAGAAUUUGCUUGAAAUCACACGACUCAUCUAGUGAGUGUUGAAGCUAGGAAACCAAACCCAGGCAUGUUGGAUGCGAAGGCCACAACGGAACAUUUCUGUAAUUGUGGAAUUCUAGGCUGGAGGAUGCCUACUGCAGAUAGAAACAGCUCCAAGACACAAGCUUACAAUGAGAAUGAAAGGAGAUAGCGCCCAAUUCAGUGCCUAGCACACGGGAACCUAGCUAUUGCUGUCUUCUAGUUAAAAAUAUACACCGUAAUUGUUGCCUCUACCAAAUGUUCUGUAAAGGAUUAGUAUUUUAGCUGGACCUGGAAAGGUAAUAAUUUUGGUGGUCGGUAUCCUAGUCAGCUUGGGAGACUAUAACAAAAUCCCAUGGACUCAGUGACAUAAACAACAGAUAGCCACUUCUCAUAGUUCUGAAGUCUGGGAUAUGCAGGACCAACGUUUUGGCAUGUUCAGUUCCUGGUGGGGGUUUCUCUUCCCGCUAUCCAGAUGGCCACCUUCUCACUGUGUCCUCACAUGGCAGAAAAAGAGAGAGAGAGGAGAGAGAGAGAGAGAGAGAGAGAGAGAGAGAGAGAGAGAGAGAGAAAGAUACACAGACAGACUAACCCCAUCUUGGGAAUCCCAACCUCAUGACCUCAUCUAUGCCUAAUCGCCCACCUCCAAAUAUGGUAGCACCCCUCAUCCAUGAGGGAUAUAUUCUAAGACCUCCAAUUGGUACCUAAAUCCAAGGACAGUACUGAACUAUAUGCAUAUUCUGUUUUUCCAAUACAUAGAUAUCUAUAAUAAAAAUUUAAUUUAUAAAUUAGGCAGAGUAAGAGAUUAACAAUAACUAAUAAUAAAGUAAUACUAUAUUGUAAUGUAAA
This is a long non-coding RNA of Marmota monax (woodchuck), 2181 nucleotides long. RefSeq lists it as uncharacterized. NCBI's taxonomy places the organism in Eukaryota, Metazoa, Chordata, Mammalia, Rodentia, Sciuridae. The record is from RefSeq and is a predicted model, not a curated record. The transcript has 2 exons.